AGGGCUAUAGCUCAGUUGGUAGAGCAACUCGUUUACAGAAGGUCUACGGUUCGAGUCCGUAUAGCCCUA
Molecule: transfer RNA, 69 nt
Filed under: Chrysosplenium pilosum
Lineage: Eukaryota; Viridiplantae; Streptophyta; Magnoliopsida; Saxifragales; Saxifragaceae
Description: tRNA-Val
Rfam family: tRNA
About the family: Transfer RNA (tRNA) molecules are approximately 80 nucleotides in length. Their secondary structure includes four short double-helical elements and three loops (D, anti-codon, and T loops).
Source: RNAcentral